Molecule: non-coding RNA, 111 nt
Organism: Oryza meridionalis
Lineage: Eukaryota; Viridiplantae; Streptophyta; Magnoliopsida; Poales; Poaceae
Source: Rfam
GUGGCCCCAGGAGUUCCUUGCAAGCACUUCACAAAAAACUUCAGUUACUCUCAUACAACAUUGUGAGUUUGAGAAGCUAUUGUGAAGUGUUUGGGGAACUCUCGGUGCCAA